GGAAGGAUCGUCUAACGGCAAGACUGCGGUUUGUGAGACCGCCUAUACCGGUUCAACUCCGGUUCUUUCCCCCA
RNAcentral lists this transfer RNA (74 nucleotides) under Candidatus Obscuribacterales bacterium. Its description in RNAcentral is "tRNA-His". It matches the Rfam family "tRNA". From Rfam's summary of the family: Transfer RNA (tRNA) molecules are approximately 80 nucleotides in length. Their secondary structure includes four short double-helical elements and three loops (D, anti-codon, and T loops). The record is from RNAcentral. Lineage: Bacteria; Bacillati; Candidatus Melainabacteria; Candidatus Obscuribacterales.